This 468-nucleotide ribosomal RNA is filed under the name uncultured bacterium. RNAcentral describes it as "partial 16S ribosomal RNA". It matches the Rfam family "Bacterial small subunit ribosomal RNA", at positions 28 to 507 of the family's 1533-position model. The record is from RNAcentral.
GACGAACGCUGGCGGCGUGCUUAACACAUGCAAGUCGAACGGAAAGGCCCUGCUUUUGUGGGGUGCUCGAGUGGCGAACGGGUGAGUAACACGUGAGUAACCUGCCCUUGACUUUUGGAUAACUUCAGGAAACUGGGGCUAAUACCGGAUAGGAGCUCCUGCUGCAUGGUGGGGGUUGGAAAGUUUCGGCGGUUGGGGAUGGACUCGCGGCUUAUCAGCUUGUUGGUGGGGUAGUGGCUUACCACGGCUUUGACGGGUAGCCGGCCUGAGAGGGUGACCGGCCACAUUGGGACUGAGAUACGGCCCAGACUCCUACGGGAGGCAGCAGUGGGAAAUAUUGCACAAUGGGCGGAAGCCUGAUGCAGAAACGCCGCGUGCGGGAUGACGGCCUUCGGGUUGUAAACCGCUUUCGCCUGUGACGAAGCGUGAGUGACGGUAAUGGGUAAAGAAGCACCGGCUAACUACGUG